UAGGGAAUCUUCGGCAAUGGACGAAAGUCUGACCGAGCAACGCCGCGUGAGUGAAGAAGGUUUUCGGAUCGUAAAACUCUGUUGUUAGAGAAGAACAAGGACGUUAGUAACUGAACGUCCCCUGACGGUAUCUAACCAGAAAGCCACGGCUAACUCCGUGCCAGCAGCCGCGGUAAUACGUAGGUGGCAAGCGUUGUCCGGAUUUAUUGGGCGUAAAGCGAGCGCAGGCGGUUUCUUAAGUCUGAUGUGGAAGCCCCCGGCUCAACCGGGGAGGGUCAUUGGAAACUGGGAGACUUGAGUGCAGAAGAGGAGAGUGGAAUUCCAUGUGUAGCGGUGAAAUGCGUAGAUAUAUGGAGGAACACCAGUGGCGAAGGCGGCUCUCUGGUCUGUAACUGACGCUGAGGCUCGAAAGCGUGGGGAGCAAACAGG
This 429-nucleotide ribosomal RNA is filed under the name Gemmatimonadota bacterium. Its description in RNAcentral is "Gemmatimonadetes bacterium partial 16S ribosomal RNA". It matches the Rfam family "Bacterial small subunit ribosomal RNA", at positions 355 to 776 of the family's 1533-position model. Lineage: Bacteria; Pseudomonadati; Gemmatimonadota. The record is from RNAcentral.